UUUUUAGCGGCGGACGGGUGAGUAACGUGUGGGCAACCUGCCUUUUACUGGGGAAUAAUCACUGGAAACGGUGACUAAUACCGCAUAAUAUUCUUGGAAGGCAUCUUCCGAGAAGGAAAGGAAAUAUUCGGUAAAAGAUGGGCCCGCAUCUGAUUAGCUAGUUGGUGAGAUAACAGCCCACCAAGGCGACGAUCAGUAGCCGACCUGAGAGGGUGACCGGCCACAUUGGGACUGAGACACGGCCCAAACUCCUACGGGAGGCAGCAG
This 267-nucleotide ribosomal RNA is filed under the name uncultured bacterium. RNAcentral describes it as "partial 16S ribosomal RNA". It matches the Rfam family "Bacterial small subunit ribosomal RNA", at positions 89 to 354 of the family's 1533-position model. The record is from RNAcentral.